AGCAUACUGACGGUUCAGAUAUCCCGAAAGCCAGGCCUCUUAUGCAAACAGCCUAGUUAUGGGUACAAAGGAAGAGUUUGGAAGGAAAUUAAGAAUGUAUUUCCAGUCAACAUGGCGACGAUAAGAAAGUAGGACAGGCUUCUUGCUGAUGAGUGAAAGCUUUAGUGGUCUGGGUGGGAGAUAAAACCUGCCAGAACAUUCCCUUGGUGUUCAAGCCUAAUCCAGAUCAAAGCCAUAGCUCUCUUCGGUUCCGUGAAGGCUGGGAGAGGUCAGGAGGCUGCAGAAGAAAAAGCGGCUUCCUGAGGUUGAAGCAAAGGAACUAACGGUCUGCAAACAGAACUGAGCAGGGCAAGGCCAGAAGCCAGCGGAGAAGCCGCAGCACGCUCCCACUCCUGGGAAGUUUCCGCUAAGAGCAUUGCUGCAGGUGACUGGACCACACCUCGGAAUGUGGCAAGAAGAUGCCAGAGCCAUAUAGAGGAGCAGCUUCCCUGUGGUUCCCAUUCCUGGGUCACCUUCUUCCCGGAGGAGGGAGAGGACAUUCUUUGCCAAAUAAGUCUUGGUUCCACUUGGAAGAGAGACCGUUUACAAACAGACAGCAGUCUGGGUGUUUCCUGGACUCCCACUCUUCUCAGAUCUCAGCUGGAGUUCCUUUUCUUGGCGGUCUUUCUGCAGGAGUCUCCAGGUCACUUUCCAGGGCUCUCUCCUCCAGCUGGCAGCAGGGGGCUUGAGGCAAGGAGAGGUAGCCCGCCUCCCCCCUGCAGCUUUGCCUAGAUGGAUGGACGUGCCUUUUGUAGCCUGGCCUGGCACCUUGUUCCAUUCCCCUCUUGGUGGACCUUCCUUCCUGCUGCAGGUUACCAAACAGGCCCAAAACUCAGCAACCUCUCUCCUAUGUAACAGGGUUUUUUGUUUGUUUUGUUUUGUUUUGUUUUUGCUUUAAGAUUUGUUUUUAUGAUUUUUAAAUUUAUAUAUACACACACAUAUAUACAUAUAUGUAUAGAUAUAUUUGUAUGUGUGCAUGCAUGUCAUGCACAUGCAGUGUCCAAGGAAGCCAGAAGAGAGAGUUGGAUACCCAAGGACUGAAGCCACAGGCACCAUGAGCCACUGGACAGGGUGCUAAGAGCUGAAUUGGGUUCCUCUGGAAUAGCAGAACCACUCUUAACAGAUGAGCUCUCUUCAGCUCCAUAACCUCCUGUUUUAACAGCCACAGAGCUGUUUCGCUGCUCUGUCCAUAGAAGUCAACCCGGCUUUUCAUCCCAGUCACAUAGUUACACGACCACCAAACAGUCCUCUUCCAGAAACACAGUGGGCAGAAGAGCAAGAUCAAUGACCAGAAGGGUCAGAAGCCAUGACAUAGUCCCAUCCCAUCCUGAAUUCCCAAGAGUCACUUCCAGUUUGGAAAUUGAGACCCAGAGACCAUGUUCUUUCUCAGAAGUGCCAGGCAUGGAGGUAUUACCACUUAUGGUCACUGCAGACUCAAGGGCACUUCCCCUCCACCACAGCCUGGGAGACCACAAGGCAUCCCAUCCCACUCUGAGUUCUGGAAGCAGGUCUCAUGGCUCUUCCAACCCUGAAUCUUCAAAGUCUUAGCUAACUUAGCUAAGUUGGGGACCUUAGCUCUGUGCCUCCAGUUCUCAUCUGCAAAGGAGUCACAAGUCACACCGGUCACUGCAGGUUAUGCACCGGAAGAUGCCUGCUCAGAGCAUGGCUUGGCCUCUGUUUUAAUGCCAGCCACUGGCAAUCAGUAUUCUCGCUAUAUUCUUAUUGGUUCUCAGGAACUCCUAGGAGCCUCACUGGACUGGGGAACAGGGAGGCCUGAGCUGCUCAUCUGUGUACCUCAGAAGGUUGAUACUCAUGCCUAGGACAAGCACUUGACCCCUGAACUGUGUCCCAGCUGUACUAAUCACUUGUCUAUUGGAACAAAAUAUCUGACGAAAGCAACUUCAGGAAGGAAGGGUUUCUUUGGUUCAUGGUUCGAGGGUACAGGCCGUCAUGGUAGAGAAGGCAUGGCAGGAGCUUGAGGCAGCCGACUGCGUGGCAUCUGAAGUCAGGGAGCAUCGAGAGGAGGCUGCUGCUCAGUUUGCCUUCCUCUUUCUAGUCAGGCCUGGACUCUACACAUGGAAUGGAGAAAUCCAAAUUUGGGGUGAACCUUCCAACCUCAGUUAAUUCCAUCUUCAAAACAUGGCCAGAGACUUGUUUCUAAAGUGGUCCUAAAUCCUGUCAAAUUGACAAGAUUAAACGUCACACCAGACCUCUUUUUUAAACUCCUGGUUUGGGUAGUACAGAAGGGGAGAAAUACUCCUUAAAAAAAGAUUUCAGUUUUGUCCUAUAUUCUAAUGCAUUAGCAGCACUUUUAGAAGGCUUUUAAAAAAAUGAAAGAACUUAUAUAACCCAGGCUAGCCUUUAACCUCCUGCAUAGAUGAGGAUGACACUCAAUUUCUGACCGUCCUGCCUUCAGCUCCCGAAUGCUGGGAAUGCAGCCAUGCACCACCAUACCUGGUCUAUGCCAUGGAUUUCAUGCAUGCUAGGCAAGUAUUCUACCAACCAAGCUACAUCCCCAGCCCCAAGUAUGUGCUUUAAAUAUCACUACAGUUUUCAUAUUCUGUUUUCCUCAUUAAAAAAAAAUUGAUAGAAACACAUACAAUUUUUCAUUUUAUAUCUGGGAUGUAAGCAUUUUAAAACCCUGGCUUUGGGGCUGGUGAGAUGGCUCAGCAGUUAAGAGUGCCGACUGCUCUUCCAAAGGUCCUGAGUUCAAAUCCCAGCAACCACAUGGUGGCUCACAACCACCUGUAACAAGAUCUGAUGCCCUCUUCUGGAGUGUCUGAAGGCAGCUACAGUGUACUUACAUAAAAUAAAUAAAUUAAAAAAAAAACAACCCUGGCUUUGAUCCCUAGCAACACACACACACACACACACACACACACACACACACACACACACACAGAGCUGUCACCACCAUUUUCCCAGAACCUUUCCAUCACCAGAUAGGAAACCCCAUGGGCACCUCCAUCCCUGUCAACUUCAGAUCCUCUUUCUCUCUUCAUGAGCAAUACAUGAUCUCCCUUCCUGUUAGCACAGUGCCCCCAAGGUGCACCAGCAUAGCAGCAGGGGUCAAUACCUCACUGCUUUGGAUGAAAUGGCAUUUCCCUGUACAGCUGGUGAUUCCAUGUUGUUUUAUUUACUCAUUGGAACUAGAGAGGAUCUUUCCCCUACACUUUAAGCUAUUGUGAAUAGCAUAGCUGAGAACACUUAGGGCCAAAAUUUGAGGGAACCCCUGUUUUAAAUUCCUAGUUAGGGUUUUACUGCUGUGAACAGACACCAUGACCAAGGCAACUCUUAUAAGGACAACAUUUAAUUGGGACUGGCUUACCGGUUCAGAGGUUCUGUCCAUUAGUACCAAGGUGAGAGCAUGGCAGCAUCCAGGCAAGCAUGGUGCAGGAGGAGCUGAGAGUUCUACAUCUUCAUCUGAAGGCUGCUAACAGAAUACUGGCUUUCAGGCAGCUAGGAUGGUCUUAAAACUCACACCUUCUCCAAAAAGGCCACAUCUAUUUGGACCUUCUAAUAGUGCCAUUCCCUGGGCCGAACAUAUACCAACCAUCAUAAAUUCUUUUUUUUUUUUUUGGUACAGAUGUAGGCAUGGAAUUGCUUGGUCAUGCAGUUAGUCUGCAUUUAACUAAUUUGGGGACAACUGGGCCCUUCCUCACUGCCUGCAUGGUCCCCAGCUCUUGGUACCAAGCUUACUUCCAGACUGGAAUAGUUUGUCUCCUGCCUUCCAGGCUGUGAGCUAUUUGUAGCAGACAUUCUGUCCUCUCUGUUUCGGAGGUAUGUUUUCAGCAUGGCACCUGGCACACUGGUGGUUCUUAGUCCAUGUUUAGUUAGUUCCUUUGCUCAUUUAUUAGUUAUCUAGUUUUGAGAUAGGACCUCAUUUUAUAGCCCAGGCUGGCCUGGAAGUCACUAGGUAGUUCAGGAAGGCCUUAAACUUAUGACCCCUCCUACCUCACCACACCCAGCUCAAGCCUACAUUUUGUAAAUGACUGCAUCACCCUGUAAAGCCAUCUGAGUAAAUUCUAUUCCAUGUGAGCUCUCUAGAGAGAAGUAAAGACACAGGGAAAUGGGGGUGGGGGAGCAUUAGAAGCUGUUAUCAGCACAAGAGUCCUCCCCACCAGCCAUGCUACCAACAAGGUUGAGUGCUCGCUGGGUGCCAGCUCUUGGAAGAAACUCUCCCUGGCUAGAAACACUUCCUGCAGAGCAGCGUUGCAAACACCCUAGAGAGAUCUCCCACAACUCGGUGGCUCCGAAUUAGUACCUUCCCAUACAACAGAGGAGAAACUCUAGCCAAAUGCAUGUUGGAAGACCCCCAGAAUCUCCCCCAUUCCUUUCAGUCUGUCAGCAAGCAUUGAUUGAGCAUCUACAACCUGCUGGGCCCUGCACUCCACGCGCUACUCUUAAAUGAGUUCUCGACCCAAGGGACAGACGUGUCCUGCUUUUAUGGACCGCUGAGUUUGAUGGAUGAGAAGAACAUGAACAAAUGUUUAUUCAAAUAGAAACUGAAGGUACUGUGCUAAAUGUGACCCAAAGUCGGGCUCUCGGGGUGUUGUAGGAAGAGAAAUACCAAGGAUGCCUAAUCUAGGGAGAGCCUUCCUGGGGAUGAGCAUUUCAGGCUAAUGGUGACAGGGAGUCAUGAGUAGGAGGGUAGUAUGUGAGAGCAGAAGGGCAUUCUGGGAAGGCAGAGGACUUGAGCGAAGCUCCAAGACUGCCCUGGUGGCUCAAGUCAAUGAGUCGAGGGAGGCCCGGAGCCAGGCCAUGAGCUGAGUAAGGCUGGAAAGCACAUGGAGAGCUCAGGUUGGGGUCAGAUUGUACGGGGCUUUGGAAACUAUAUUAAGGUUUUGUCAUUUAUUCAAGAGGCCAUGAGAAAUCCUGUUCAUUUUUAUGUGUGUGUUCCCAAGAAGACUUAAUAAAGUGUCUGUCUCACCACUCACUGAGUCUCCCCUUUAAGUCUCAUGGUUUUUUUUUUUGUUUGUUUUUGUUUUUUUAGAGUAGUUGCCCAUUAAGGAGCCCCCAAUAUGGCACCUACAGAUCCUUAUUGUCUUGUGUUCUUACCCAUGGGGGAGUCUCCUCCCAAUUUUCCCAUUCAAGGGUGGUCUGGGAUACCAAUAGAAUAUGGUAAUAAUGGUCGUAUGCCACAAUACGAUAGGUUACAAAAGACUCCCAUUUUUACUUCCCUUGAGUCAUGUGCUAUUGGAGAGCCAGCUCUGUUAUCAGGACACCCAGGCAGCUUCCAGAAAGGCUCGUGGUAAGCAGCAGAGGUCUCUUCUCUAGCCAGCAGCCACGAAGGAGUCUAGAGCCCUCCAGCCUUCUGAUGGCCACAGCCUACUCCACGGCCAGACUAGGACAUCUUAAGAGUCCUUCAGUCGGCCGGGCAGUGGUGGCGCACGCCUUUAAUCCCAGCACUUGGGAGGCAGAGGCAGGCGGAUUUCUGAGUUCAAGGCCAGCCUGGUCUACAGUCACAUACCCCGUCUCAGCUUAAGCCAUCCCAGGAUGCCAACCUCAGAACCAUGAUAAUAAAUCAUGAUGAUAAAUAUUGGUUUUAAUUUACCAACUCUAAAACAACUUGUAGCACAGCAACAGCUCAUAUAGCUGCGAGUAUUUCCCAAUUUCCCAAGUUCUCCAGUUAACAACUGAACAACUGCUGCUACCAAAGAGAAAU
This is a long non-coding RNA of Mus musculus (house mouse), 5704 nucleotides long. RefSeq annotates it as predicted gene, 51874. The record is from RefSeq and is a predicted model, not a curated record. Lineage: Eukaryota; Metazoa; Chordata; Mammalia; Rodentia; Muridae. The transcript is spliced from 2 exons.